This 240-nucleotide ribosomal RNA is filed under the name uncultured bacterium. RNAcentral describes it as "partial 16S ribosomal RNA". It matches the Rfam family "Bacterial small subunit ribosomal RNA", at positions 96 to 334 of the family's 1533-position model. The record is from RNAcentral.
UGGCGAACGGGUGAGUAACGCGUGAGGAACCUGCCUCAAAGAGGGGGACAACAGUUGGAAACGACUGCUAAUACCGCAUAAGCCCACGGGUCGGCAUCGACCUGAGGGAAAAGGAGCAAUCCGCUUUGAGAUGGCCCCGCGUCCGAUUAGCUAGUUGGUGAGGUAACGGCCCACCAAGGCGACGAUCGGUAGCCGGACUGAGAGGUUGAACGGCCACAUUGGGACUGAGACACGGCCCAA